GCUCGCAUAGCUCAGUCGGUAGAGUACUUCAUUGGUAAUGAAGAGGUCACCAGUUCGAAUCUGGUUGUGAGCACCA
Molecule: transfer RNA, 76 nt
Filed under: Gammaproteobacteria bacterium LSUCC0112
Lineage: Bacteria; Pseudomonadati; Pseudomonadota; Gammaproteobacteria
Also listed under: 1 other name
Description: tRNA-Thr
Rfam family: tRNA
About the family: Transfer RNA (tRNA) molecules are approximately 80 nucleotides in length. Their secondary structure includes four short double-helical elements and three loops (D, anti-codon, and T loops). Further hydrogen bonds mediate the characteristic L-shaped molecular structure. tRNAs have two regions of fundamental functional importance: the anti-codon, which is responsible for specific mRNA codon recognition, and the 3' end, to which the tRNAs corresponding amino acid is attached (by aminoacyl-tRNA synthetases). tRNAs cope with the degeneracy of the genetic code in two manners: having more than one tRNA (with a specific anti-codon) for a particular amino acid; and 'wobble' base-pairing, i.e. permitting non-standard base-pairing at the 3rd anti-codon position.
Source: RNAcentral